GCCGAGGUGGCGGAGCAUGGACUAACGCGCGAGCCUGGAGAGCUCGUCUCCCUCUGGGAGGCUUGGGUUCGAAUCCCAACCUCGGCG
Molecule: transfer RNA, 87 nt
Filed under: Candidatus Altarchaeales archaeon ex4484_43
Lineage: Archaea; Nanobdellati; Candidatus Altarchaeota; Candidatus Altarchaeia; Candidatus Altarchaeales
Also listed under: 2 other names
Description: Candidatus Altiarchaeales archaeon ex4484_43 tRNA-Ser
Rfam family: tRNA
About the family: Transfer RNA (tRNA) molecules are approximately 80 nucleotides in length. Their secondary structure includes four short double-helical elements and three loops (D, anti-codon, and T loops).
Source: RNAcentral